GGGCCGGUAGUUCAGCGGUAGAAUGCUCCCCUGGCUAGGGAGAGGCCCCGGGUUCAAAUCCCGGCCGGUCCA
This 72-nucleotide transfer RNA is filed under the name Nanobdellota archaeon. Its description in RNAcentral is "Nanoarchaeota archaeon tRNA-Ala". It matches the Rfam family "tRNA". From Rfam's summary of the family: Transfer RNA (tRNA) molecules are approximately 80 nucleotides in length. The record is from RNAcentral. RNAcentral also lists the same sequence under 1 other name. Lineage: Archaea; Nanobdellati; Nanobdellota.